Molecule: microRNA, 21 nt
Filed under: Oryza sativa (Asian cultivated rice)
Lineage: Eukaryota; Viridiplantae; Streptophyta; Magnoliopsida; Poales; Poaceae
Also listed under: 2 other names
Description: osa-miR159c
Gene: osa-miR159c
Source: miRBase by way of RNAcentral
AUUGGAUUGAAGGGAGCUCCA